GACGAACGCUGGCGGCGUGCUUAACACAUGCAAGUCGAACGGGCCUGUCUUCUUUUUUGGGGGGUGGGUUGAGUGGCGAACGGGUGAGUAUCACGUGAGUAACCUGCCCUUCGGUCCUGGAUAACCGCUUGAAAGGGCGGCUAAUACGGGGUGGUCCGGUUGGUCCGCAUGGGCUGGUCGGGAUAGAUUCACUGUUUUUGGUGUUUCGGCGGGGGAUGGGCUCGCGGCCUAUCAGCUUGUUGGUGGGGUGAUGGCCUACCAAGGCGGUGACGGGUAGCCGGCCUGAGAGGGUGGGCGGCCACACUGGGACUGAGAUACGGCCCAGACUCCUGCGGGAGGCAGCAGUGGGGGGUAUUGCACAAUGGGCGGAAGCCUGAUGCAGCGACGUCGCGUGAGGGAUGGAGGCCUUCGGGUUGUGAACCUCUGUUUCCGGUGAUGAAGGCCCUGUCCGUGUGGUGGGGUUGACGGUAGCCGGGGAUGAAGCGCCGGCUAACUACGUG
RNAcentral lists this ribosomal RNA (500 nucleotides) under uncultured bacterium. Its description in RNAcentral is "partial 16S ribosomal RNA". It matches the Rfam family "Bacterial small subunit ribosomal RNA", at positions 28 to 507 of the family's 1533-position model. The record is from RNAcentral.